RNAcentral lists this ribosomal RNA (481 nucleotides) under uncultured bacterium. RNAcentral describes it as "partial 16S ribosomal RNA". It matches the Rfam family "Bacterial small subunit ribosomal RNA", at positions 30 to 507 of the family's 1533-position model. The record is from RNAcentral.
UUGAACGCUGGCGGCAUGCCUUACCCAUGCAAGUCGAACGGUAACGGGCCUUCGGGUGCCGACGAGUGGCGAACGGGUGAGUAAUACAUCGGAACGUGCCCGAUCGUGGGGGAUAACGAGGCGAAAGCUUUGCUAAUACCGCAUACGAACUACGGACGAAAGCAGGGGACCGGAAGGCCUUGCGCGGACGGAGCGGCCGAUGGCGGAUUAGGUAGUUGGUGGGAUAAAAGCUUACCAAGCCGACGAUCUGUAGCUGGUCUGAGAGGAUGAUCAGCCACACUGGGACUGAGACACGGCCCAGACUCCUACGGGAGGCAGCAGUGGGGAAUUUUGGACAAUGGGCGCAAGCCUGAUCCAGCCAUGCCGCGUGCAGGAUGAAGGCCUUCGGGUUGUAAACUGCUUUUGUACGGAACGAAAAGCAUUCUUUUAAUACAGGAGGGUCCUGACGGUACCGUAAGAAUAAGCACCGGCUAACUACGUG